UCAGACAAAUUAAGUGACUCUCCCAAGAUCACAUAACAGUUGUGUGCUGAGUGGAAAACUGAGAUUUUUGAAUCAUCACACCAACAGAAAUGGAGAUAUCUACUAGGAUCCCGAGAGAAGGUGAGAGAGGUGAGCAUGGGAGUGAAAGAGAAAUUUUCCUGAGAGAAAUAGAAAAGGAACUAAUAAAGGAGAAACUUCAAGAAAUUUAUCUUCAAGCAGAAGAACAAGAGAUGUUGCCGGAAGAGAUAUUAAGUAGUAUACAGGGGACUUUUUGAAGGCAAACGAAGAUCCUGAAACUUGUGUUCUAGAAGACUUGCAGAAGCUAGAAGCUGUGAAGGAGCAGUUGUAUCCACAAGAGCCUUUAAAGGAUUUGGGGAAAGUGAUGUCUGAAGAAGAGGAAAAUAAAGGUGGUCAUUCAUGAAAAUGAAACGUGUUGUCUGAAGAUGAACUUAAUUACAAUCUCAGAAUAUACCGGCACUUCUUUCAAAAGGGGAAAAUCUUUGGCAAUAAGCCAUAUCAAAAGUUUGGCACACUGGAUAAGGAUUUUCUGUGGUGUAUUUUUUUUCUCUUUGUGAAUAUAAGGGGUGGUGGUGAACAGCUAACCAGAACACCCCCAUGGCAUCCGAAGAUGAUAAAAUCAGCAGGAGAUAAAAUUGGACAUUUCAAAGGUGG
This is a long non-coding RNA of Tachyglossus aculeatus (Australian echidna), 672 nucleotides long. RefSeq lists it as uncharacterized. The record is from RefSeq and is a predicted model, not a curated record. Lineage: Eukaryota; Metazoa; Chordata; Mammalia; Monotremata; Tachyglossidae. The transcript has 5 exons.